CCGCCAUCCGGCCCGAGGAGCUCGAGUUCCCCAACACCAUGACGGACAUCGACUACGACACCUGGAUGCUGAGCGGCACGGCCAUCAUGCAGGACGGCAACACGACGCGCAACAACUACGGCUGCGACCUGGACGCGCUGGGCGCGGGCUCGCGCAUCGGCAUGAUGCGCACGGCGGCGGGCGAGCUGCGCUACUUCAUCGACGGCGCCGACCAGGGCGUCGCGUGCGCGGGGCUGCCGCCGGGUGA
Molecule: long non-coding RNA, 247 nt
Organism: Nothoprocta perdicaria
Lineage: Eukaryota; Metazoa; Chordata; Aves; Tinamiformes; Tinamidae
Exons: 2
Source: RefSeq, a predicted model, not a curated record